AUGCAUGAACCACAGACAGAGAAUACUCAGGAUGAGCGUAGACACGGAAGCAUACGAGUCACUGAAGCAAAUGAAUAUCUACAGGCAUCAUCCAUUCACAAGCACGUGAGUGGAAGCAAGCAGCUAGCGUGGUGUCGGCCUCCAGGAGGGAUAGCUGCCUGCACGGCUGUCGGAGUUGAGGAGCAGGCGGCUGUGUGCAGUUGUCGCUGUCGAUGGGUCAAGGAGCCCCGUGGACACAGCACGACGGGGAUGGCAGCGGAGCAGUCUGUGGCGGCGUGUGCGAGCAGUCCAUGUUCUACUCAUGCUCUGUAUCUCCCUCUGUUCUUGCUUAUCCAUCAAAAUCAAGACUAG
This 351-nucleotide ribosomal RNA is filed under the name Triticum aestivum (bread wheat). Its description in RNAcentral is "partial small subunit ribosomal RNA". Lineage: Eukaryota; Viridiplantae; Streptophyta; Magnoliopsida; Poales; Poaceae. The record is from RNAcentral.